Molecule: transfer RNA, 72 nt
Filed under: Ignavibacteriales bacterium
Lineage: Bacteria; Pseudomonadati; Ignavibacteriota; Ignavibacteria; Ignavibacteriales
Description: tRNA-Ile
Rfam family: tRNA
About the family: Transfer RNA (tRNA) molecules are approximately 80 nucleotides in length.
Source: RNAcentral
GCGGGAUGAAUAGGAGCGGCUCCUAUCCGGUCUCAUAAGCCGGCAGAGGCGGGUUCGACUCCCGCUCCCGCU